AGCGUAGACGGAGUGGCAAGUCUGAUGUGAAAACCCGGGGCUCAACCCCGGGACUGCAUUGGAAACUGUCAAUCUAGAGUACCGGAGAGGUAAGCGGAAUUCCUAGUGUAGCGGUGAAAUGCGUAGAUAUUAGGAGGAACACCAGUGGCGAAGGCGGCUUACUGGACGGUAACUGACGUUGAGGCUCGAAAGCGUGGGGAGCAAACA
This 207-nucleotide ribosomal RNA is filed under the name uncultured bacterium. RNAcentral describes it as "partial 16S ribosomal RNA". It matches the Rfam family "Bacterial small subunit ribosomal RNA", at positions 568 to 774 of the family's 1533-position model. The record is from RNAcentral.